This 491-nucleotide ribosomal RNA is filed under the name uncultured Propionibacterium sp. RNAcentral's name for it is "partial 16S ribosomal RNA". Lineage: Bacteria; Bacillati; Actinomycetota; Actinomycetes; Propionibacteriales; Propionibacteriaceae. The record is from RNAcentral.
CACGUAGUUAGCCGGUGCUUCUUUACCCAUUACCGUCACUCACGCUUCGUCACAGGCGAAAGCGGUUUACAACCCGAAGGCCGUCAUCCCGCACGCGGCGUUGCUACAUCAGGCUUCCGCCCAUUGUGCAAUAUUCCCCACUGCUGCCUCCCGUAGGAGUCUGGGCCGUAUCUCAGUCCCAAUGUGGCCGGUCACCCUCUCAGGCCGGCUACCCGUCAAAGCCUUGGUAAGCCACUACCCCACCAACAAGCUGAUAAGCCGCGAGUCCAUCCCCAACCGCCGAAACUUUCCAACCCCCACCAUGCAGCAGGAGCUCCUAUCCGGUAUUAGCCCCAGUUUCCUGAAGUUAUCCCAAAGUCAAGGGCAGGUUACUCACGUGUUACUCACCCGUUCGCCACUCGAGCACCCACAAAAGCAGGGCCUUUCCGUUCGACUUGCAUGUGUUAAGCACGCCGCCAGCGUUCGUCCUGUACGCCAGGAUCGAAAACUCU